CCUAGAACAGGUGCUGCAUGGCUGUCGUCAGCUCGUGUCGUGAGAUGUUGGGUUAAGUCCCGCAACGAGCGCAACCCUCGCCCUUAGUUGCCAGCAUUUAGUUGGGCACUCUAAGGGGACUGCCGGUGAUAAGCCGAAAGGAAGGUGGGGAUGACGUCAAGUCCUCAUGGCCCUUACGGGCUGGGCUACACACGUGCUACAAUGGUGGUGACAGUGGGCAGCGAGACAGCGAUGUCGAGCUAAUCUCCAAAAGCCAUCUCAGUUCGGAUUGCACUCUGCAACUCGAGUGCAUGAAGUUGG
Molecule: ribosomal RNA, 300 nt
Filed under: uncultured Alphaproteobacteria bacterium
Lineage: Bacteria; Pseudomonadati; Pseudomonadota; Alphaproteobacteria
Description: bacterial SSU rRNA
Rfam family: Bacterial small subunit ribosomal RNA
Source: RNAcentral